Molecule: ribosomal RNA, 301 nt
Filed under: uncultured bacterium
Lineage: Bacteria
Description: partial 16S ribosomal RNA
Rfam family: Bacterial small subunit ribosomal RNA
Source: RNAcentral
CAGCAGCCGCGGGAAUACGGAUGGGGCUAGCGUUGUUCGGAAUUACUGGGCGUAAAGCGUGCGUAGGCGGUGAGUUAAGUCUGCUGUGAAAUCCCCGGGCUCAACCUGGGAAUGGCAGUGGAUACUGGCUCGCUAGAGUGUGUCAGAGGAUGGUGGAAUUCCCGGUGUAGCGGUGAAAUGCGUAGAGAUCGGGAGGAACAUCAGUGGCGAAGGCGGCCAUCUGGGACAACACUGACGCUGAGGCACGAAAGCGUGGGGAGCAAACAGGAUUAGAUACCCGGGUAGUCCCUGUCUCUUAUAC